UACGUAGGGUGCAAGCGUUGUCCGGAAUUAUUGGGCGUAAAGAGCUUGUAGGCGGUCGGUCGCGUCUGCUGUGAAAAUCCGGGGCUCAACCCCGGACUUGCAGUGGGUACGGGCAGACUAGAGUGUGGUAGGGGAGACUGGAAUUCCUGGUGUAGCGGUGAAAUGCGCAGAUAUCAGGAGGAACACCGAUGGCGAAGGCAGGUCUCUGGGCCACUACUGACGCUGAGAAGCGAAAGCAUGGGGAGCGAACAGG
This 253-nucleotide ribosomal RNA is filed under the name uncultured bacterium. RNAcentral describes it as "partial 16S ribosomal RNA". It matches the Rfam family "Bacterial small subunit ribosomal RNA", at positions 524 to 776 of the family's 1533-position model. The record is from RNAcentral.